This 6584-nucleotide long non-coding RNA is filed under the name Homo sapiens (human). RNAcentral describes it as "HSALNT0228020". Lineage: Eukaryota; Metazoa; Chordata; Mammalia; Primates; Hominidae. The record is from RNAcentral.
AAAAAUUAGCCAAGCACAGUGGCAUGUGUCUGUAGUACCAGCUACUUGGGAGGCUGAGUGAAGAGGGAGGAUUGCUUGAGGCCAGGAGUUGGAGACCAGACUGGGCAACAUAGCGAGACCUCAGCUUGGAAGUAAGGAAGGAAAGAAGGGAGGGAAGGAGGGAUGAAGGUAGAAAGAAACGGGACAAGAUGGACUCCUGAGGCCAUCCUAAUUCUGGAACACAAUACAAUGGCCUCUGUAUGUUAGGAGGGCUCAUUUGGCUUCUCUCUAAGCCAGCAGUCCACAUCUUUUUGGCACCAAGGACCAGUUUUGUAGAAGACAAUUUUCCACGGAUGGGGGCGGGGGGUGGGGGUGGGAGGGGAUGGUUUCGGGAUGAAACUGUUCCACCUCAGAUCAUCAGACGUUAGAUUCUCGUAAGAGGUGCCCAACCUACAUCCCUUGCACGUGCAGUCCACAAUAGGGUUUGUGCUUCUAUGGGAAUAUAAUGCCACACUGAUCUGACAGGAGUCAGGGCUCAGGUAGUAAUGCUCACUCACCUGCCGCACACCUCCUGCUGUGCGGCCGGUUCCCAAUAGGCCAUGGAAUGCUUAUUGGUCCACAGCCCUGGAGUUGGGCACCCCUCUUCUAAGGCAGAAGCUUCUACUGUCUUAGGAGCAGCGUCCUGGCCUCCACAGCAGGGAGAGAGCAGGAAUACCCAGCCACAGAUACUGGUCAAGAUAUUGAUCAACUUCCUACCAUCAUGGUGGAGGCAAGCCUGGAGGCCUCUGGGUGGUCAUCAGGUCACCCCAGCACAUUUUCCUGCCCCGGACUCCUGGCCACGCUGAGGUUGCUGUGAGCAGACACGAUGUGCAGGGUCAUGGAUGUGCAGCUCAAACUCCUUGACAAGCGGGAGAUUUAUUUUAUGGCCCAAGCAGUUUGGAGACAAAAUCGUAAGGUGCUCACCCAUCCAGUGUCUCUUCAGCCGGCACUGGGAGGUGUCAAACUGACCACAUUCGACUGCCCCUUCCGCCCGCAGAAUAUGGGUCUGCGUUUCUCUUUCCCUCUUGGUGGCCAAGAACUGUCAACAUCCAGCUGUGGCUCUGCACUCAGCCGCCGCUCAGCCUGCUCAGGUUGAAAGGUCAAACGUUGUCUGGAAUUGGCAGCCCAGCUUACUAGCAGCUCUUCUGUCUUCAGAGUGCAGUGAGGGGAGCUGUCAGAGGGCUGAGGCAAGGACCAGAGAGGGAACUCCUGCGACAGAGAAAGCUCAGCCCUGGUUAUGUUCUGGAGGGAGCAUAGCAGGGUCUGUCCCAGGAACUUUAUUAGUUAGCGGUUAAGAUCCUCAUCCACAGAAAAGCCGGUAGGAAUUAGCCAGGUGGUGUGUGCCUAUGGUCCCAGCUACCCAGGAGGGUGAGGAGGGAGGACUGCUUGAGCCCAGGAGGUUGAGGCUGCGGCUAGCUAUGAUUGUGUCACUGCGCUCCAGCCUGGGUGACAAAGCAAGAUCCUGACUCAAAAAAAAAAAAAAAAAAAAAAGGAAGAAAGAAGAAAGAGAGAGAAGAAAGAAAGGAGAGAAAGAGAAGGAAGGAAGGAGAAAGGAAAGAAGGAAGGAAGAAAAGGAAGAAAGAAUGACAAAGAAAAGAAAGAAAGACGAAAAGGAAAGGAAAAGAAAAGAAAAAAGAAACAAAAGCAGGAAAGUGAGGGGAGAGGGCCAGGAAGACAGAAGACAGGAUGGGCAAGAAGGGUGGGAAGGAUUCCCACACCAGAUUCAGGAGUGGCUCUGCAUUGGGAAAUCCAUCUACGACUGCUGGGGACUUGGUUUUGCAAACAUGCACAGAGAAACCUUCAUCCACCUCUGUGCAAUGUUGGACUGAAGUAGAAAUGAGCCGCUGUUUUCUGGAAGCACCCCAUUUCUUUGAGCUGAUCUUCUCUAAUAAUGAAUUCUGGUGAAGCCUGCCAUUCACAGCACCCUGCCCUCCCAUCUGUAGGAGGUGGGAACAGGACCCAGGCCAGUUGAUCAGAGAGCUCCCUUGCCCUGGGAUGAGCAUGUGACCCAGAUGUCUCAAUCAUGGGGAAGAUCCUCUUGCCUGUUAUAGCCACUAUGCUGGAAGAACAGGAUGUGGGCUUGCUGGCCGCCAUCUUCCAGUCCACGCUGGGAACCCAUCUGCAGGAGGAGGGAAGGAGGACAACCCAGUUUGAGGGAGCAUAUGGACAGCAGCUAUAGAAGGCUCCAUAUGUGCCCAGUGCUAGAUCCACCCCAUCCCUUCCUGUUCCAUAAAUCCAUACAUCUUCUCUCACUUUUGCUUACCCUAGUUUGAGUUACAUUUCUGACACCUGCCACCAUAAAAGCCCAAAUGAUUACAGAGAAUAUUUGGCUACAGGAAAGACCCUGCAGUCUGUGAAAAAAGAGGCUGCUGGUGCAUAGUCAUCGUAGACCAGUGCAAAGAGUGAAACAGAAACAUCCAGCUUAAUCUGCAAAAGCCUUUUUGGAUCCUUGAGAGGCGCUCAUUAACUUACAGCAAAUUGGUGAGCUGAUACUCUUCUUUCAUCCAGGUGAGUGCAUUAACUAGGUUAAUGUUCCUGUCUCAAGGGACUGCUGUAGGUUAGGGUGAAUGAAUGAAAGAAGCAAGUUUUUAAACAGGAAAAAGGCUGCAGGGAAGUUGAGGUGACAAGCAUCGUUUCACCCCCAAUGGAAGGUGAGCUUGUCUGUUAGGUCCCAGGGACUGAAUUGGAGUUCCGUGGUUAGGGAAUGACCCAUCUCAACAAGCAACUUCCAUCAUCCUUCCAUGGGGAUCUGAUUAAGGUCUUCUCCAGAAGGAGAUGGCCUCGUGAGUUGGGGCUUUUUAAUCUCCCUGUCCCUCCUCUAGAAGGGCAUUGCUACUGGCCUUGCCCUGCCAAGUCUUCAGUCUACAACAACACUGCCCGGCUUCAGACACAGCCCAGAUCCUUCCCAGAUCCUUCCCAGACACAGCCCAGAUCCUUCCCAGACAAAAAGUCCUUCCGACUUUUUGCCCUUUCGGCCCAGCCUUCCCUAUCACUUAUGCUGAAAUUGGGAACGUUUCCCAAACCAACAAUUUCCCAGUCCACAAUGUUCCCUUGCUGAGUGUCCCCACAGGAGAGACAGGCAGCCUGAUAAAUAAAACCAGUCAUAAAACCUCCCUGCCUUAGCAAAGGGACUGCUUUGCCAGGCUACCGUCACAUAGCACUCCUGUCUCCCGUUUGACUUCAUAUAGUGAAAAUUGUCUAAAAGAUAAGGCAGGAGCUCUGGUUGACACCCCCCCUGCCCCCGCCUCAUAGAUCUCUCUCUAGAAGCAUUGGAAGAGGCCGUCUCAAAAAAGAAAAAUAAAAUAGAAGCAUUGGAGGAAAGAUGUGGUUUGUAGUGAAACAAAUUGGAAGUCAAGCUCAGCCUCAACCACUUACUUGCUUCUGACCUUGGGUAGUGUCCACCACAGGAAACAUUACUAUUUGGGUUUUGUGACCCAGGAAUCCAUAUUUACCUGGCGGCAACGACACAGCCCUCACCUUUCCAGACCUCAUCUGGUGGCCUUGUAAUCCUGGAGCUGAAGCUGCCUACACACAAGCAAUCGGUCGCAGUGUAUCCGUGCAGGGUCCCAACCCACUCCAGGAUUCAUUUCGGGAUGGCUUCCCCUCCCUCAGCCAGGUCUCCGGCCCCGUUGCUCUGCAUGCUUGCCCAUCUCCAUCUCCACGGCGAUCAUGUGUUUGCAGGGAGCCAUCAAUAGGAAUCCUGCUUUGUGUAGUUCAGUGCCUGCUGCCAAGUCAGAGCUGUGACCUCAAUGAAAGUGGCCCAGCCACAGCAAACCUCAGUUUCCAUAACAGUCCUGGGAUCCAAUGUGGCUUUCACACUACAUGUCACUUCACUCUGUUAUCUCUGACAGAAAACCAACUCAAACUGGCUUAAGCAAAAAGGGUACUCACUGGGCCAUGUAACCAAAAAGUGUAGGCAUACAUGUGGCUUCAGGAAUGGCUGGAUCCAGGCACUCACAUGUGGCAUCGGGAGUCCCUCUCCUGGCUGUUGGUUUCAGUUUUCUCUGCAGGGGUUUCAUUCAAGCACUGGUUCCCUCCUCAUAGUGGCAAGGUGGCUGCCCAGGACAAGAGGCUUAUAGCCACGGGCUCAGCUACUUAAGGAUAAGUUCCAUCAGAAGCCCAAGUUGAGGCCGGGCUUGGUGCUCACACCUGUAAUCCCAGCACUUUGGGUGGCCGAGGUGGGUGGAUCACUUGAGGUCAGGAGUUCGAGACCAGCCUGGCCAACACAGUGAAACCCUGUCUCUACUUAAAAAAAAACAAAACAAAACAAAAAAAAAAACCAUGAAAAUUAGCUGGGUGUGGUGGCACGUGCCUGUAAUCCCAGCUACUUGCAAGGCUGAGGCAGGAGAAUCACUUGAACCUGGCAGGCGGAAGUUGCAGUGAGACGAGAUCACGUCAUUGUACUCCAGUCUGGGCAACAGAACGAGACUUCGUUGGCAAUGACUGGGUCAUCUGUCCAGUCCUGAACCGGUCACUGUGUCAGGUAGAAGCAUUGUUUGAUUGGCCAGGCCUGGGACACACGGCCAUCUCCAGACCUAGGAAUGGCAUCAUCUCUACCCAAACCCCGUGAACCAAGAGUUGGGGAGGAGCAAAGCUUCAGAGAAAACUCUGGGCCCUGUCAUCAAGCAGAGGAGGAAAGGAGGCCACACAGACUGAGACAUCAAGUACCCACUGUGCCCUCACCACCAGCUCCCGCCCUGGCCAGUGCACUCCUGGACCAUCUCUCCUCCCCGUCUUGUUCACAGUCACCCUCUCACCCCAGCAGAGAUCAGGCCAGGGUACUGGUGGCAAGUGAGUGAAGGGUUUCAGCAAGGGGGUCCCCACCUUCCAGGCACAGUGUAAGUGGACCCCCCACACUUGGGGGCUCUCCUGGGUUGCACAGUGUCCUCUGAAAAUUCACAUCCACCUGGAACCUGCAAAUAUGACCUUAUUUGGAAAUGGAGUCUUUGCAGAUGUUGUCAAGAUAAGAUGAAGUCAUACUGUUUUAGGAUGGGCCCUCUAUAUGGCACGACUGGGGUUCUUAUACGAAGAGGGACCCUGGCACACAGAUGCAUACAGGGAGAGUGCUGUGUGAUGAGAAAGGCAGAGAUUGCAGUGAUGCUGCCACCAGCCAAGGAGUCACCAUCAGCCAGGAGAUGGGCAUGGAUCUGAUUCUCCCUGGGAACCUCCAGAAGGAGCCAACCCUGCCAACACCUUGGUUUUGGACUUCUGUUCCCCGCAACUGUGAGACAAUACAUUCUGUGGUUUUAAGCUUUAUGAUAAUUUGUUACUGUAGCCCUGGGAAAGGAAUACAAGGGUAGACAGACACUGAUCAAGUAAGCAAACAAAUGUGAAAUUGCCCUGUGACAAGGGAGGUGCGGGGUGCCUGUGUUGGGGAAGAAUUCUCUGAGACUUGAAGUCAGAGAAGGAGUUAGCUAAUGGGGCCGACAGGGUUCUGCACACGCAGCUCACGGCCCAGAUCUUGUUGGCCAAGUGUUUUUGCAGGGAUUAGGAACUAAGAAUGGUUUUGCAAGAAGAACAUCACAGGCUGAGGGGACAGCAUGGGCAAAGGCCAUGAAGUGGGAGGCGCCCUCUGUGAAACCAACAAGCUUUCAGCCACGUGGGUCUCUCUGACGCGUUGCCUCAGCCACAGAGGGCUUUAAAAAGCCCCGAAACUGGACAGGUGUCACUGCCUGUGGCAGUAGCGGCCAUUUGGCGCCUGUGGUUUCAACUCCACCCGUUUCACAUGUCUAUGUUACCAGACUGGCCCCUGAAGGGGAUCUGUGUGCCAGGCCCUGACCUGCCGGGCUUUGGAAACAUCCUCGACAGUGUCCCCUGACCUGCGCCCCGCCUUGUGGAGUGAGGCCUGGUUGCCCAAGCUGGCUGGGCCGGGCUGUUUGUUGCUUCCAACAAACAUAGGAGAGAACGUAUGGCUGCUUUUUAUUGCCAGUGAGAGUUCCGCGAGGCCUGGCCCGAGAUGUGGCUGGCGUGAGGGGUCCCGGACCUGCUGUGCUGGGGACGCACCCAGUUCUGUGUCGCUUGGUCCAGUGAGGACUCGAGCCCCUUGGAGGCGGGGCCUCGGGCUGCAGGGGCGGGGCCCCGAGCCGCCUGGGGGUGGGGCCUCAGGCUCUUUGGGGGCGGGGCCUCAAGCUGUCUGGGGACGGAGCCUCCGGCCGGCUGGGGGCGGGGCCUCAUGCCUAAGGGGCGGGGCCUCGAGCUUUCUGGGGGUGGGGUCUCAAGCUUCAGGGUCGGGGCCUGGAGCCGCCUGGGGACGGGGCGAUCUGUUGGGGAGGAGGUUCUCGAACUGCUGAGGAGGAUCGCAGUGCUUUUGCUUCCUCUAGGAGACCAGCUGCACAGGCUGGAACAUGCCAUCUCUAUGCCUGUUUUCCCGUCGAUAAAUCCAGAGACAUUACUCUCAUCAUUUCUUCCUCUGUACACAAUAUUCAUAUAUGUAACCCCUUGGUAAAGCAGUUGUAAGAAUUAAACAAGAGGAAUUGCUCUUUCAUUCAGCAAAUAUUUUUUGAGCAGCUACUAGAUGCCAGGCACUGUUUUAGACGCAAGUGAUACUUCAGGAAACAUAAUCAGAC